CGUUUCAAAUGCAUCCAAUUUAACUCCUUUGUUUUCUACAUGGAGAAAACGGGUGAAGAGUGAUUUCCCUGAGAUCACAGAGUGAGUAAAUGGCAGAAAUGCACUUUAAAGCUGAUCCUUGACUUCUUUAAGUCUGGCAUUUCUCUUUCCUCCAGCCUGUAGUUGGCUUUAUAAUGAGAAGAAUAACCAAAAUUAACUAAUUCUAAUAACAUGAAAAAGACAACAUGAUAGGAAGGGCCCAAACUCAAACCAUCAAUAUUCUUGGUCAUCAGACCACCUUCCCAUUAUGAUACAAGAAUUUGGCAAAAUAUGUUUACCAAAGCUGUUUUGAGGCCUAAUUUCCAGAUUAGAGAAGUGUACAACUUGAUGGGUCCCAAGGAAGUGCUUAGGGUUCUUCAAGCUGCCAGAACUUUGCAGAACUUUUCACCCCCAUGGACUUCUGCCUCUAGGCCUCCUGGCAACAGAAGCAUGCUAAGUCUUUCCAGUAAAGUUCAGCAGUGGUGGCACCCAAAGAAAGUGUAUUUCCACUCAACAAGUACCUGUAUGUGAGACCAUGUACAAAAUAGACCAGAACAAGGGUUGAAAUAGAAUUAUAGUUCUGAAAAAUGGUUUAAAAAAUGUUGGUGUCUGUUAGGAUCUUCAAUGAUGUGAUAAAAACAGCUAACAUUUAUUGAGUACUCACUGCAGACCAGUGAUUGUGCCAAGCACUGUGUACAUUCUCAUUUAAUACUCAUCCCAAUCCUAAAAUCACAAGUUCCCUUUUAUGGAAGAGAAACAGCCAGAGUUAAGUAACGUUCAAGUCACAAAGCCACCAACCAACUGGGAAAAAUCCUUCUUUUGACUACUUUCUCCAAGAAACCCUCCACACCUCAGUCCCCUCCCAGGUCUGCUGGUCUGGGGUUCCACUCAUACUAACUGGCCUUCACUUCAUGGCUUCCUCUCCUCUGCUCUUCCAGGCUCUUUGUUGGCUGGGAGUGCAGCUUUCAUUUUGCCUUUGAAAUGACCAAUUUGGUCAAUGGCCACUUCUGUUAAGUGAGGACAGCUCAGGACAGGGUCUCAUUUGCUCAUCUCUGGCUCAAGGCCACCCACUCAACAACCACCCUGGUUGUUGAUGAAUUGAAUUGUGGGCUGAAUCCUUUUGAGAGUCUAAAACCUGCUAUUUUUAGGUCUACAGAAAAUUGAAGCCAUUGUUGGGAGACAGCUAUCUCCACUCAUCAUAAAUCAAGAUAAAUGGUUUCUGUCCUAAGAAUCAGCCCAACACUGGGCUGCUUGCUGUCUAGCUAGGAGCC
This 1289-nucleotide long non-coding RNA is filed under the name Marmota monax (woodchuck). Lineage: Eukaryota; Metazoa; Chordata; Mammalia; Rodentia; Sciuridae. The record is from RNAcentral.